AUUGAACGCUGGCGGCAUGCCUUACACAUGCAAGUCGAACGGCAGCACGGGUGCUUGCACCUGGUGGCGAGUGGCGAACGGGUGAGUAAUGCAUCGGAACGUGCCUUUUAGUGGGGGAUAACGUAGCGAAAGUUACGCUAAUACCGCAUAUUCUCUGAGGAGGAAAGCAGGGGACCUUCGGGCCUUGCGCUAAUAGAGCGGCUGAUGUCGGAUUAGCUAGUUGGUGAGGUAAGGCUCACCAAGGCGACGAUCCGUAGCGGGUCUGAGAGGAUGAUCCGCCACACUGGGACUGAGACACGGCCCAGACUCCUACGGGAGGCAGCAGUGGGGAAUUUUGGACAAUGGGGGCAACCCUGAUCCAGCCAUGCCGCGUGAGUGAAGAAGGCCUUCGGGUUGUAAAGCUCUUUCGGCCGGGAAGAAAUCGCACAGGCUAAUAUCCUGUGUGGAUGACGGUACCGGAAUAAGAAGCACCGGCUAACUACGUGCCAGCCGCCGCCGUAA
RNAcentral lists this ribosomal RNA (501 nucleotides) under uncultured bacterium. RNAcentral's name for it is "partial 16S ribosomal RNA". It matches the Rfam family "Bacterial small subunit ribosomal RNA", at positions 30 to 523 of the family's 1533-position model. The record is from RNAcentral.